RNAcentral lists this long non-coding RNA (1100 nucleotides) under Citrus sinensis (sweet orange). RNAcentral describes it as "long non-coding RNA (CSIN_LNC002622)". Lineage: Eukaryota; Viridiplantae; Streptophyta; Magnoliopsida; Sapindales; Rutaceae. The record is from RNAcentral.
UUGUUUUCUUCCACUAAUUCGAUCUUCGAAAGGUCUCAGAGCUCCAAGUAACUCAGUAAGCUCGGUUUUCUUCUAUUCUCUUGGAUACUUGCUUACACAUUCCUUUUUUUUGUGUUAAAUUUGUUGUUUUGUUGUGUUAUAUGGAUCGAUGAGAGUCACAGACUUUGAAUUGAAAAAUGAAAAUUAGUUUUUUUUUCUGUGCUACAAAAAUGGGCGGAGACUGCAAGCAAGAGGGAAUGAAGCGACUCGAGUCACGAAGAGUCCUGUGACUUGCGAGAGGUGACAUGUAACUAUGAGAAAUUGAAAUAUUUGAUUAUCGAGUAAAUAACAUUGAGUUCCCUAUAUUUUUAUUUUUAGUAAAUAACGAUACAUUAGUUUCAGUUUAUUUCAAAUAGGUUCCUCAUCCUUUGCCAGUGACCAAGUUGUGCAACCCUAACAUCCACAGCACCUCUUUUCGCUUCAAUCAUGACCGGAGCAUCAGAGCUUGAGUCUAUCCUUUUAUGUUCAUCUCCGUCUUGUUCUUCAUCCAUUUUUGCAUCUUCUACAUGAAUGGCUUCUGGUUCUUUGGUUUGAUUUUCUUCUGUGCUGCCUUUUGGUUCUCUCCCUUCGCCGACUUGUUCAGCCACUUUCGUAGUUUCAAUUCUGGAGCUCUGAAGGGGGCCAGUCAAUGAAGCUGUAGCUGAGUCCAUCAAUGCUGAUUCCUCAGUUUUUAUUUCCCCUGAUUCUUGUGGUUGUUGCUCUCCUUCGAGGUUAAUCUUUGCUUUUUGUGGAGUUUCUGUGGUUCCUUAUUGCUCAAAAAUUUUUGGCGCAAACUCAUCUCCAGUUUGAACUGGUGUGUAUGGGCGCUCAAUGAGAUCUGCUUCAGUUGUUGCAUAAGAGCUUUUCUCUAACUCACUAGUUUCUUGAAUGAUUUUGCUGUCUGUUGCAAACCCCCUUAUGCUUUCUUUUUGUGACAUCGCCAUACUCGAUUCUUGAUAAAAUUAAAAGUAAAGCUGCUCAAAUUGUGAAAAAUAAAAGAAAAACCGAAAUGUCUAAUUAAUAUCUGCAAGCAAAAUGGCUUUCAUAAUUUAGCUGCAUUCUUGUCCUACUAAGUUAUGUUU